Molecule: ribosomal RNA, 253 nt
Filed under: uncultured bacterium
Lineage: Bacteria
Description: partial 16S ribosomal RNA
Rfam family: Bacterial small subunit ribosomal RNA
Source: RNAcentral
UACGGAGGAUCCAAGCGUUAUCCGGAUUUAUUGGGUUUAAAGGGUGCGUAGGCGGCUUUUUAAGUCAGGGGUGAAAGACGGUAGCUCAACUAUCGCAGUGCCCUUGAUACUGAAGAGCUUGAAUACACUAGAGGUAGGCGGAAUGUGACAAGUAGCGGUGAAAUGCGUAGAUAUCCGGAGGAAUACCAAAGGCGAAGGCAGUGUCCUGGGGAGUACCUGACGCUCAGGUGCGAAAGCCAGGGGAGCGAACGGG